This 491-nucleotide ribosomal RNA is filed under the name uncultured bacterium. RNAcentral's name for it is "partial 16S ribosomal RNA". It matches the Rfam family "Bacterial small subunit ribosomal RNA", at positions 29 to 507 of the family's 1533-position model. The record is from RNAcentral.
AGUGAACGCUGGCGGUAGGCCUAACACAUGCAAGUCGAACGGCAGCACAGUAAGAGCUUGCUCUUACGGGUGGCGAGUAGCGGACGGGUGAGGAAUACAUCGGAAUCUACUUUUUCGUGGGGAUAACGUAGGGAAACUUACGCUAAUACCGCAUACGACCUACGGGUGAAAGCAGGGGAUCUUCGGACCUUGCGCGAUUGAAUGAGACGAUGUCGGAUUAGCUAGUUGGCGGGGUAAAGGCCCACCAAGGCGACGAUCCGUAGCUGGUCUGAGAGGAUGAUCAGCCACACUGGAACUGAGACACGGUCCAGACUCCUACGGGAGGCAGCAUUGGGGAAUAUUGGACAAUGGGCGCAAGCCUGAUCCAGCCAUACCGCGUGGGUGAAGAAGGCCUUCGGGUUGUAAAGCCCUUUUGUUGGGAAAGAAAAGCAGCAGGUUAAUACCCCGCUGUUCUGACGGUACCCAAAGAGUAAGCACCGGCUAACUUCGUG